Molecule: non-coding RNA, 176 nt
Filed under: uncultured Niameybacter sp.
Lineage: Bacteria; Bacillati; Bacillota; Clostridia; Lachnospirales; Lachnospiraceae
Source: RNAcentral
AGAACUAAUAAUCUGAGAAGUAGAAUGAUAGAGUAACGUCUUGAAAUACUGCCCAUAAUACUCCGAAUGGCGUAAUCUUAGAUAAAGAAGAUUGGGUCAUAAGCUCGGUGAAGACGGCUGAAAGAAACCCUAAUGAAAAUAGUCAUUGAGUGGAUGAUAGGCCGGUGGUCUAUAAA